RNAcentral lists this ribosomal RNA (450 nucleotides) under Bacillus cereus. RNAcentral's name for it is "bacterial SSU rRNA". It matches the Rfam family "Bacterial small subunit ribosomal RNA", at positions 93 to 526 of the family's 1533-position model. Lineage: Bacteria; Bacillati; Bacillota; Bacilli; Caryophanales; Bacillaceae. The record is from RNAcentral.
AUUUGGCGGACGGGUGAGUAACACGUGGGUAACCUGCCCAUAAGACUGGGAUAACUCCGGGAAACCGGGGCUAAUACCGGAUAACAUUUUGAACCGCAUGGUUCGAAAUUGAAAGGCGGCUUCGGCUGUCACUUAUGGAUGGACCCGCGUCGCAUUAGCUAGUUGGUGAGGUAACGGCUCACCAAGGCAACGAUGCGUAGCCGACCUGAGAGGGUGAUCGGCCACACUGGGACUGAGACACGGCCCAGACUCCUACGGGAGGCAGCAGUAGGGAAUCUUCCGCAAUGGACGAAAGUCUGACGGAGCAACGCCGCGUGAGUGAUGAAGGCUUUCGGGUCGUAAAACUCUGUUGUUAGGGAAGAACAAAUGCUAGUUGAAUAAGCUGGCACCUUGACGGUACCUAACCAGAAAGCCACGGCUAACUACGUGCCAGCAGCCGCGGUAAUAAUC